AGAGUUUGAUCAUGGCUCAGAACGAACGCUGGCGGCGCGCCUAAUACAUGCAAGUCGAGCGAGAAGACGUAGCAAUACGUUUGUAAAGCGGCGAACGGGUGAGGAAUACAUGGGUAACCUACCCUCGAGUGGGGAAUAACUAGCCGAAAGGUUAGCUAAUACCGCGUACGCUUCUUGGACUUCGGUUCAGGGAGGAAAGUGAUACCGUGGGUAUCGCGCUCUUGGAUGGGCUCAUGUCCUAUCAGCUUGUUGGUGAGGUAACGGCUCACCAAGGCUUCGACGGGUAGCUGGUCUGAGAGGACGAUCAGCCACACUGGCACUGCGACACGGGCCAGACUCCUACGGGAGGCAGCAGUAAGGAAUAUUGCGCAAUGGGCGAAAGCCUGACGCAGCGACGCCGCGUGGGGGAUGAAGGUCUUCGGAUUGUAAACCCCUUUCGGGAGGGAAGAUGGAAUGGGGUAACCCAUUCGGACGGUACCUCCAGAAGCAGCCACGGCUAACUUCGUGCCAGCAGCCGCGGUAAUACGAAGGUGGCAAGCGUUGUUCGGAUUUACUGGGCGUACAGGGAGCGUAGGCGGUUCGGUAAGCCCUCUGUGAAAUCUCCAGGCUUAACCUGGAACAGUCGGAGGGGACUGCCGGGCUAGAGGACGGGAGAGGAGCGCGGAAUUCCCGGUGUAGCGGUGAAAUGCGUAGAGAUCGGGAGGAAGGCCGGUGGCGAAGGCGGCGCUCUGGAACGUUUCUGACGCUGAGGCUCGAAAGCGUGGGGAGCAAACAGGAUUAGAUACCCUAGUAGUCC
This 796-nucleotide ribosomal RNA is filed under the name uncultured bacterium. RNAcentral describes it as "bacterial SSU rRNA". It matches the Rfam family "Bacterial small subunit ribosomal RNA", at positions 8 to 796 of the family's 1533-position model. The record is from RNAcentral.